GCUGGGCAUGGUGGCGCGUGCCUGUAAUCCCAGCUACUGGGGGGGCUGAGGCAGGAGGAUCGCUUGAACCCAGGAGGUGGAGGUUGCAGUGAGCUGAGAUUGUACCACUGCACUCCAGCCUGGGCAACAGAGCGAGAGUCUGUCUCAA
This 148-nucleotide small RNA is filed under the name Pongo abelii (Sumatran orangutan). Its description in RNAcentral is "Metazoan signal recognition particle RNA (ENSPPYG00000036635.1)". The record is from Rfam by way of RNAcentral. Lineage: Eukaryota; Metazoa; Chordata; Mammalia; Primates; Hominidae.